GACGCAGGGUGCGAGCGUUGUCCGGAUUUAUUGGGCGUAAAGAGCUCGUAGGCGGCUCGUCGCGUCGACCGUGAAAACCCGCGGCUUAACUGCGGGCUUGCGGUGGAUACGGGCGGGCUAGAGUUCGGUAGGGGAGACUGGAAUUCCUGGUGUAGCGGUGAAAUGCGCAGAUAUCUGGAGGAACACCGGUGGCGAAGGCGGCAUCCUGGACCGACACUGACGCUGAGGAGCGAAAGCCAGGGGAGCAAACGGG
Molecule: ribosomal RNA, 253 nt
Filed under: uncultured bacterium
Lineage: Bacteria
Description: partial 16S ribosomal RNA
Rfam family: Bacterial small subunit ribosomal RNA
Source: RNAcentral